Molecule: transfer RNA, 56 nt
Filed under: Aneurinibacillus migulanus
Lineage: Bacteria; Bacillati; Bacillota; Bacilli; Caryophanales; Paenibacillaceae
Description: tRNA-Ala
Rfam family: tRNA
About the family: Transfer RNA (tRNA) molecules are approximately 80 nucleotides in length. Their secondary structure includes four short double-helical elements and three loops (D, anti-codon, and T loops).
Source: RNAcentral
UAGCUCAGCUGGGAGAGCGCCUGCCUUGCAAGCAGGAGGUCAGCGGUUCGAUCCCG